CGACCAUUCCACCGGAUGAUUCACGAAGUUCCAUCACGCGUACUCCGUAUCGUGAGCGGACGACGUUCCUGGGAAGGUAGGAAGGUAGGAAGGAAGCGCAGAUGGUUUUUACGUUACGUUACCCGAGAGAUAUCGCGACUGGCUAUUAUUGCGAUGACGGAGAUAGUAGGCCAACUUUCGAGAUGACAAUUUUAUCUGGAUGCAUGUUAACCGUGGCGACGUUACUGUUUUCGCUACUUUCCGAUCGCCUUAGGAUUCGCUCACGCUAAUAGGAAUUAGUUGACUCUACCCAAGCCCCAGGCCAAUACCCGACAAAGAAUGAGCUCUGAGUUGCAGUUAAACUACAAUUGGAUGGAUGUUAAUUAUCAGAAAGGGAGAAAACGAAUGAUGAAAAUUAUUAAGGACAUUGAUUUGCACUCAGAAUGCACUGAGGAUAUACAUACAAUAUUCAAGUGAAUGCGCAUGGGCUUUCCUCCACCAGGUCUGGUAAGAGUGAGCGUUCCUGGACGCUUACUCUUGUGGCGUGUUACUCGCACUACUCCAGAGGGUUAGUGACCGUGAAAAUAGUCCCUGCAAGUGGGACGGCCAUUUUUCAAAAUCGUUGCAACGAUUGCGUGCGCCCACAACCGACCUACAUUCGAGGUCGAUGCGCCACGAUCAUUCGUUUCCUCGUUUUUCCCUUCGCUCGCUGAUUCUCCAGUGAUCAGAAUCAAAUUUCCCGCCUGAAGCGUCGGAGCGUCGGCCGAGCAAGGAUGGGAAAGUGUAGCUGUUCAAAGGACCAAGUUAUUUUUUUUUCAUUGUUAGAAGCGAGCAGAGCGUUUGGAUCGAACGAAGCGAGAAGCAAGAAGACAUUGGCACAGAAGCGUCGGCCAAGUCUGCAUAGCUACGAAGUUGGAAACAAAGCAGGCUAUCUUGAAAAAUAAUAUCACGCUGUGCUAACUAGAUGGAUUUUCUUGGUCUACGCUUUCUUGGAUUUAUCUCGAAUGAUACCGGAAAGGAUCAGCGUCAAUCAGUGAGCAUGGGAUCCUUGGAAUUCUGAAGGCCAAUCAUAACUCUAUAAUCUUUACUGUCGCAUCUUGAAAGGACCAAUAAUCUGACAUAAGUGAUAUGGAAAGGCGUCCUGCAAUGUAGAGACGUAAGCGACGUAGCGACGCAAGGCGCCCCCAGCGACGAAACGAAAGAGAGUGAGAAGACGAAGCGAAGCAGGAGAGCGAACGACGCCGUGGAGAGAGUAGGCCAAUGCCAGUGUCACCGACUAGUCAGCCACUGCAAACUUGAUCGUGAAAACAGAAAAACAACGACCAUCGUCGAUUA
Long non-coding RNA from Cephus cinctus (wheat stem sawfly), 1314 nucleotides. RefSeq lists it as uncharacterized. The record is from RefSeq and is a predicted model, not a curated record. Lineage: Eukaryota; Metazoa; Arthropoda; Insecta; Hymenoptera; Cephidae. The transcript has 4 exons.